Tetranychus urticae (two-spotted spider mite) is the source of this 1187-nucleotide long non-coding RNA. RefSeq lists it as uncharacterized. The record is from RefSeq and is a predicted model, not a curated record. Lineage: Eukaryota; Metazoa; Arthropoda; Arachnida; Trombidiformes; Tetranychidae.
CUCAAAGCCACGGUUCUGUAAGUUUUGCCUCUAGUCUUGCCUCUUACUCAAUGCUUUACAAUUGAGUUUAACCUUGAUUCUGGUUAUUGUGACUAAUCACACUGAAUGUCUUGAGGACUUGAGUGAAGGAAUAAAGGAAGACGAUGAUGAUCAUCAUGUUGGUUCUGAAGAUUUUAUUGAUUUUAUAGAGAUUCAAGGACUAAUUGUGUAAUCUCUGGUUCUCUAUGAAAGGUUCAAAAGGGAAUUUGAUUUUCCCUCUCUUAUCAGCUUUAAUUAUUGUCCAAUGAUGUGCACAGGCUUACAACAUCGGUUAACAGGUUGAUGACUCGCAAUUAGCUUUCAUUAACCGAAAUAAUCGCAUCUUUACAUAUUAAUUUUGAUCGAUUAUAAGGUUUAUGAUCGAUCCCAAGCGAAAAAUCAUCUCGUCUUUUAUUACUUUCAUCUCUACACUUGACUUUGUGUAAUCAACAUUUAUCUCUUUAUUAUUUCCUAAUACAUUGGACAUCCUAGUGUGACUUAACUAUGGGUGGAGCAAACUCAAUCAACAAGGUAAGAAUCAUUUAUUUCAGGGAUUAAUUAGGUAAGUCAUGAAACGAGAAGUGAUUAUAAUUAAUGUACCCAAUAUGACCUUUCUUCAAUCAAAUUGAACACAAGAAACCUUUAAAACAAAAACAAAGUUUAUUACCUUUUAUAUCCUUUUUUCAUUUUCCUUGCCAUUUCUUUCCUCCAUUAUCAUGUUUUCACCAUUUUGCCAUGAUAUGCCAUUCGACUACAAAACAUUGGGUGAAGUGAAAUCAUUCAACUCACAAUUUAAUAUUUUUGUAAUAUUUGAUUAUCUGUGUUAUGAUGCAACAAAAGCUAAACAUUCUGGUAUUCACUGAUAACAUCUGAUUCUUCUGGUAACAUCACCGGUUUCUCCCCUGAUCUGAGCUUCUAUUUCUCAACAACACCUUGCAACAUCCAUCACUCUUCAUUCAUUUCAACAUCCUGUGCUUUAAGAACCAUAUUUUUUUUCAUUCCUUUUCUUUUGCUUUCUACUUUUCCUUUUUUUUACUCUUUUUUACUCCUUUUUAUCACCUUUUCCUUUGAUGGUUAUUUUAUUUUUAUAUCACAAACUCACCUACACCUUAACAAAUUACCUCUAUUAGCAAUCCUUUUACCAAUAAACAAAUCAUUUUUUACUUGAU